AUUGAACGCUGGCGGCAGGCCUAACACAUGCAAGUCGAACGAGUGGCGGACGGGUGAGUAAUGUCUGGGAAACUGCCUGAUGGAGGGGGUUAACUACUGGAAACGGUAGCUAAUACCGCAUACCAUCGGAUGUGCCCAGAGGGGAUUAGCCAGUAGGUGGGGUAAAGGCUCACCUAGACGACGAUCCCUAGCUGGUCUGAGAGGAUGAUCAGCCACACUGGAACUGAGGCACGGUCCAGACUCCUACGGUAGGCAGCAGUGGGGAAUAUUGCACAAUGGGAGCAAGACUGAUGCAGCCAUGCCGCGUGGAUGAGGAAGGCCUUCGGGUUUUAAAGUCCUUUCAGCGGGGAGGCGUUAACCGCAGAAGAAGCACCGGCUAACUCCGGGCCAGCAGCCGCGGUAAUAC
Molecule: ribosomal RNA, 406 nt
Filed under: uncultured bacterium
Lineage: Bacteria
Description: partial 16S ribosomal RNA
Rfam family: Bacterial small subunit ribosomal RNA
Source: RNAcentral